RNAcentral lists this transfer RNA (78 nucleotides) under Candidatus Bathyarchaeota archaeon. RNAcentral describes it as "tRNA-Met". It matches the Rfam family "tRNA". From Rfam's summary of the family: Transfer RNA (tRNA) molecules are approximately 80 nucleotides in length. Their secondary structure includes four short double-helical elements and three loops (D, anti-codon, and T loops). The record is from RNAcentral. RNAcentral also lists the same sequence under 4 other names. Lineage: Archaea; Thermoproteati; Candidatus Bathyarchaeota.
AGCGGGGUGGGGAAGCCAGGUUAUCCCGCGGGGCUCAUAACCCCGAGAUCGGUGGUUCAAAUCCACCCCCCGCUACCA